RNAcentral lists this transfer RNA (72 nucleotides) under Bos taurus (domestic cattle). It matches the Rfam family "tRNA". From Rfam's summary of the family: Transfer RNA (tRNA) molecules are approximately 80 nucleotides in length. Their secondary structure includes four short double-helical elements and three loops (D, anti-codon, and T loops). Further hydrogen bonds mediate the characteristic L-shaped molecular structure. tRNAs have two regions of fundamental functional importance: the anti-codon, which is responsible for specific mRNA codon recognition, and the 3' end, to which the tRNAs corresponding amino acid is attached (by aminoacyl-tRNA synthetases). tRNAs cope with the degeneracy of the genetic code in two manners: having more than one tRNA (with a specific anti-codon) for a particular amino acid; and 'wobble' base-pairing, i.e. permitting non-standard base-pairing at the 3rd anti-codon position. The record is from Rfam by way of RNAcentral. RNAcentral also lists the same sequence under 5 other names. Lineage: Eukaryota; Metazoa; Chordata; Mammalia; Artiodactyla; Bovidae.
UCCCUGGUGGCUCAGAUGGUAAAGCAUCUGUUUGCAAUACGGGAGACACAGGUUCAAUCCCUGGGUCGGGAA